RNAcentral lists this ribosomal RNA (457 nucleotides) under uncultured bacterium. Its description in RNAcentral is "bacterial SSU rRNA". It matches the Rfam family "Bacterial small subunit ribosomal RNA", at positions 30 to 533 of the family's 1533-position model. The record is from RNAcentral.
AUUGAACGCUGGCGGCAGGCUUAACACAUGCAAGUCGAGCGCCCCGCAAGGGGAGCGGCGGACGGGUGAGUAACGCGUGGGAACGUACCCUUUGCUACGGAAUAGCCUCGGGAAACUGGGAGUAAUACCGUAUGUGCCCUUCGGGGGAAAGAUUUAUCGGCAAAGGAUCGGCCCGCGUUGGAUUAGGUAGUUGGUGGGGUAAUGGCCUACCAAGCCGACGAUCCAUAGCUGGUUUGAGAGGAUGAUCAGCCACACUGGGACUGAGACACGGCCCAGACUCCUACGGGAGGCAGCAGUGGGGAAUCUUAGACAAUGGGCGCAAGCCUGAUCUAGCCAUGCCGCGUGAGCGAUGAAGGCCUUAGGGUUGUAAAGCUCUUUCAGUGGGGAAGAUAAUGACUGUACCCACAGAAGAAGCCCCGGCUAACUCCGUGCCAGCAGCCGCGGUAAUGUACAGUGU